RNAcentral lists this ribosomal RNA (412 nucleotides) under uncultured bacterium. RNAcentral's name for it is "bacterial SSU rRNA". It matches the Rfam family "Bacterial small subunit ribosomal RNA", at positions 97 to 507 of the family's 1533-position model. The record is from RNAcentral.
GGCGCACGGGUGAGUAACACGUGAAUUWCAUGCCCUGCAGAGGGGGAUAGCCCAGGGAAACUUGGAUUAAUACCCCGUGGUCUCGCAAGAGUAAAGGGUGGCCGCAAGGCUGCCGCUGCAGGAUUGGUUCGCGCCCUAUCAGCUAGUUGGGGGGGUAUCGGCCCACCAAGGCUACGACGGGUACCUGGUCUGAGAGGACGAUCAKGCACACUGGAACUGAGACACGGUCCAGACACCUACGGGUGGCAGCAGUCGAGAAUAAUUCACAAUGGGGGCAACCCUGAUGGUGCAACGCCGCGUGGAGGAUGACGGUCUUCGGAUUGUAAACUCCUGUCAUCCGGGAGUAAGACCUGGCGAUGAAUAGUCGACAGGGUUGAUAGUACCGGAAGAGGAAGGGACGGCUAACUCUGUG